GGGACACGUGAAACCCUGUGGGAAGCAGGAGGGACCACCCUCCAAGGCUAAAUACUACCUAGUGACCGAUAGCGUAUAGUACCGUGAGGGAAAGGUGAAAAGAACCCCGGGAGGGGAGUGAAAUAGAACCUGAAACCCUGCACUUACAAGCUGUGGAAGCACAUUUCUUGUGUGACCGCGUACUUUUUGUAGAACGGGCCAACGAGUUACGUUAAGUAGCAAGGUUAAGCACUUAAGGUGCGGAGCCGUAGCGAAAGCGAGUUUUAACUGAGCGUUCAGUUACUUGACGUAGACCCGAAACCGGGCGACCUACCCAUGAGCAGGAUGAAGCGAAAGUAAAAUUUCGUGGAGGUCCGAACCCACGAGCGUUGAAAAGCUCGGGGAUGACUUGUGGGUAGCGGUGAAAUUCCAAUCGAGCCCGGAGAUAGCUGGUUCUCCCCGAAAUAGCUUUAGGGCUAGCCUCAAGGUGAGAGAUACGGAGGUAGAGCACUGAAUGUCCUAGGGGGUAUUGCACCUACCGAAGACUAUCAAACUCCGAAUGCCGUCAUCUUAUACUUGGGAGUCAGACUGUGGGUGAUAAGAUUCAUAGUCGAAAGGGCAACAGCCCAGAUCGUCAGCUAAGGUCCCUAAAUGUAAGUUAAGUGGUAAAGGAUGUGGGAUUGCACAGACAACCAGGAUGUUGGCUUAGAAGCAGCCACUCAUUCAAAGAGUGCGUAAUAGCUCACUGGUCGAGUGAUCCUGCGCCGAAGAUUUCCGGGGCUAAAACUUACUACCGAAGCUACGGCAUCAGUAAUGAUGGGUAGGGGAGCUUCCCAUACGGGUUGAAGCAUGACCGUAAGGACAUGUGGACAGUAUGGGAGUGAGAAUGUUGGCAUGAGUAGCGAGAUGUGGGUGAGAAUCCCACAGGCCGUAAACCCAAGGUUUCCAGGGGAAGGUUCGUCCGCCCUGGGUUAGUCGGGACCUAAGCUGAGGCCGAAAGGCGUAGGUGAUGGACAACAGGUUGAUAUUCCUGUACUACCGAUAACCGUUUGAGAGAAGGGAUGACACAGUAGGAUAAGCUAAGCACACUGUUGGUUAUGUGUGCCCAAGCAUUGAGGCAGUCAAAGUAGGCAAAUCCGCUUUGAUAAUGCUGGGAUGUGAUGGGGAGCGAAAUUUAGUAGCGAAGUAGCUGAUUUCACACUGUCAAGAAAAGUCUCUAUCGAGGUUAAAGGUACCCGUACCGCAAACCGACACAGGUGGGUGAGGAGAGUAUCCUAAGGCCAGCGAGAGAACUGUUGUUAAGGAACUCGGCAAAAUGACCCCGUAACUUAGGGAUAAGGGGUGCCACCAUCAGGUGGCCGCAGAGAAUAGGCCCAAGCGACUGUUUACCAAAAACAUAGGUUUCUGCUAAGUCGCAAGACGAUGUAUAGGAGCUGACGCCUGCCCGGUGCUGGAAGGUUAAGGGGAUCUGUUAGAGCAAUCGAAGCAGUGAACUUAAGCCCCAGUAAACGGCGGCCGUAACUAUAACGGUCCUAAGGUAGCGAAAUUCCUUGUCGGGUAAGUUCCGACCCGCACGAAAGGCGUAACGAUUUGGGCACUGUCUCAACAACAGACUCGGUGAAAUUGUAAUUCCGGUGAAGAUGCCGGAUACCUGCGACAGGACGGAAAGACCCCAUGGAGCUUUACUGUAGCUUGACAUUGGGUCUUGGUACUACAUGUACAGGAUAGGUGGGAGGCUUUGAAACCAGGACGCCAGUUUUGGCGGAGCCAUCCUUGGGAUACCACCCUUGUA
This 1771-nucleotide ribosomal RNA is filed under the name Clostridioides difficile. Its description in RNAcentral is "partial 23S ribosomal RNA". It matches the Rfam family "Bacterial large subunit ribosomal RNA", at positions 419 to 2210 of the family's 2925-position model. The record is from RNAcentral. Lineage: Bacteria; Bacillati; Bacillota; Clostridia; Peptostreptococcales; Peptostreptococcaceae.